AUUUAUCAAGUAAAUUUCUCAUAGUCAGAUAUAAUUUCCCUUAAAAUAAAUCACUUUAAAAUGAAAAAAAUUGUGACUAUCUUCCAUAGAAAAUAUUUCCUGUUUUAGAAUAUCAAUCAUCUUUGUAAUGUGCAGGUUUAUUUUUAUUGUUCCCUCAUUUGGACAUAAAUGACCUUGUUGGGUCACUUGGUUAGGUUAGCUGCCGUAGAGGCCGAUGAGAGCCCGUCGGCAGGUUUAGGCAGGGACGAGCAACUUCAGAAGGAUGAACUGGCCCAUCAGGUGCAUGGGCCAUAAAACGUGGCUCUGUAGGACACAGUGUUCCUGAUGACAGCAGUAAAUCUGUUUCAAAUAAAGUGAGCUGUUUGCUUAAACCUCCCCGUGUUCUGCCAGACCUUUGACGCGGCAAACCAACUCAAUAUAGAAAUGAGUGAGCCCUUAGGCUGCAGGACGGAUACACUCAAAGUACAGAUUGUUGUGUCAAAAUUGCAUUUAGUCACAUAUGACACAAUGCUCUAGUGAAGUAUUUGGCAUGCUGCUUUUGAGAACUUUCUAUUUGAAGAGAAUUGCUCCUUCUAUUAUUGUUCCAUCAUAAUUUACCAAUUAUAUUCUUUCAACAUAGCAUACCACUUUCCUGAAGAGAUGCCUAUUUCUUCAUCCCUGUGAUAAAUCUAUGGUCUUUUAAUUUAAUUUUUUCAAUAAAAUUAUACAAGGAAAAAUGUGCUUAGCAUCCCAAGGAAGCAUGGAUUAUUUAAAAGUAAGCCUAGACAUUUUUCUUUUAUUUUUACAUCCACGCUUUUUUGUGCUACCCUUUCUUCAGUGAAGAUUGCUUCAAAUAAAGCUGUCUGAGAGAGAGACAUGGUUGCUAGGGAGCCAGGCACGAUGGCGUAUGUUGCCAGGGAGGAAAGAGAGGUGAGUCCCUGAUUAUAGAAGAAAACCAUUUUUCAUUCUCCUUGAAAGCAAAGCUUCUUUAUAUACACAUGACAAGUUCACUAACUCACCAGGAGUAAGGUUUCAGAGAGAAAUAUGGAAUUUUAAUACGUUUCCCAGAGGGGAAGUAAACCUCAGGACAUUUCCUCAGGAUGAAGGAGUGGGGUUUAUACUCACCCAUAUCUUAUUCUGUGGUGGGAAAUCUUUCCAAAGGAGCAAUACAGGCAAAUCUCUGGCUAAUGAAACUGGACAUGCUCUCUAAGAGCUUGGCCUUGUCACCUGGGUGGAGUGAGUAUAAUCUCUGGCAAAUAUUUUUUUCCAUCUUCAUGUUUGGUCGUGCCAGUAAAUAAACGCUUAUCGCAGCUCUGUAUGAGUUAGAUAUUUUACUAGAGAUUUUUUAAUGCAUUUUCUUAUUUAAUCUCAUAACCUGUUGCAAGAUGUUAUCAUUUCAAUAAACACAAGGAACAAUUCCAGUCGGAGUAGAGAGAAGAUUUGAAUGUCAAUCAGUGUCACUAUCUUCUCUGCUUACACAUCUCAGUAAUUCCAUUGCUACUGAAGAAUCAGUUCAAUCCAUAGACACCCCAGAUUCAUAUAAACAAGAGCAUAAGCACUUUUUCUUUUUAACAAAUAUUUUUUUUAAAAAAAACCAUAAAUGCUGAAGUUUAAUGAAAUAAUAUUAGAGAUUUGUCUGGUUGUUGAAAAACAAAAUGUGUUAACAGCAUUUAGGUUUAAGUUUAGAAAAAUUGCUGCCUCAUUGUUGGGCUCCCUUUAGAGUGUAAAUAGCCUAGACAAUACGGCUUGUCUAGGAAAAGGACUUGCUGACAAGAUACCGAGUGUGCAUGAUUUUCCAAGAUGCACAAGAUGGUGAUUACAAAGGAUUCUUUGCAAUGCAGUGGAAAUAUUGCCAGAUUAUAAAAGAAAAGCAUUUUCAGUAAAACUGCCCCAGGAAUAUUUCAAAUUGUCAACCAGACAACCUUAUCAGCCAUGUGUUUAGGAAUCUUCAACCUCUUCUGCCCUAGAAGUCUUUAGAGGAAUCCCAAGGCUGAGCGCAUCUACCACUUCUAAGAUAAAGUAGUUCUCCUGGUCAACAUGCUCACUUAGCUGGUUUUAAACAAGGGUGCAUGGAAUUGAUCUGUACCCGUAGAAAAGAGAUUGCUCAUGUUUUAUUUCAUAUGGAAAAAAGGCACUAGUCAAGCUUACUAAUUCACUGGAAGCCUAUUGGCUGAAGAAACCACAUUUUAUAAACUAAAAUCAUUUUUAGAAGACAAAAGUGGGCUUUUGUUUGAGACAAAGUCUUGUUCUGUAGUCAGGGUGGCCUGGAACUCACAGUGCAGUCCUGGCUGGACUUGAACCAAAGCAAUCCUAUUACCUCUGCCCUCCAAGUGCUGGAAUUAUAGGCAUGAGCCACCGUGCCUGUCUUUAAAGUGGAUUUAUAGGUUGAAACAGUGAACAAGAUAUAUUACCUACCUGAGUGGAACCAAGUAAGACAGUCAUUGUGUCCACUUUUCAAAAGUGCUAACUAGAUAAUUUUAUGGUAGCCGGCAGUGGAGCAAAGGUUAUUUAAUGCUCAUCAAUAGGACUAUUGCACAUGGGCUUGGAUAUGAGAACAUUUUCCAGUCUACCAUCAUACUCCCUUGUAUAAACCCAAUUUAGUAUGAUCUUAGAAGCUAGCCAGGGUCAGGCCUACUGAGUUUGAUCCAUUCCUCAGGGACACUUUUGGGUUGAUCACUAUAAGAGACAGAAUAUUUGAUUAGGUGAACUGGGAAGGUCUACCAAAUGCCACCCUACUUUAAUUGCUAUUGCUUAGAGACGUGGUGUUUGGGGAUUACUGCCUUAUUGGCUACCCAUGAAGUUGGUGCUGCCAACUUAUCUCCCAGGAGGGUGUGGUCAAGCUUUUAAUUGACUCCCACUUCAGAGGCUGUGAUACUGUGGCAUCAACCCUUGCGGUAAAACUGAACCUUGAACAGGGCCCAAGAUAAGGGAUUUAUUUGAAAGACAAGACGCCUUUCUUAAACUCACAGGUGCUUGUAAAGCAUGCAAGUGCUGUGACUUGUGCUUGAAGCACAGAAGGGAAGAGGAAGCAGGCAUUCUUUCACACUCUUUGUAAAUUUUAUGUCAACUUUCCAGGAAAAACAUUAUUAGAAGUUGUACGAUGCCUUAUGUAUGGAAAUUGUUCAGGAAAAAGCAACAUGAAAAUCACUCUUAAGAUUGUAAUGCUGGGCAGGUGGGAUGGCUCAGUAAGCAAAGGCACUCACUGCCAAGGGUCAUGAUUUGAGCUUGGUCUCCGAGACCCACAUGGUGGAAGAAGAGAACCAGCUCCCAUGAGUUGUCCUCUGGCCUCACAUGUGUGCCUUGCCAUGCAUGCCCUGCUCCAAAAUAAACACACCAUAGAAGAAUAAUGUCUGUCCCCUGCAGAACAGGGAAGAGACACUCAGUUUGUUCCCAAGAUUUCUGUGAAGUCCUUAUUUAGGUCUGAAAUUGCACAUGUGACUAGGAUUAGUUUUGGGGAAAAAAAAAUUAGUACAAAAGAGAACAUUUAUCAACCACAGUAUAGCUACUGAAACAGAUUCUACAAAACAAAGCAGAAUUACCUGACCUUGACUGCUAUGUCUGACUGCAUUACCUACUCUGAAUAUGAGUUUAUCAUAGCAAGACCCAAGAUACCUGUACACUUUUAAGCUAUUAACUACAAGAAAUAAGACCACUGUUUCACAAACAUUUCAAGUCAAUUCUGCUCUGUGGACACACACAGAUGAUUAUUGCUCCAUUUGUCUUUUCUCUUUUAAUAGGAAGUAGCUGCUACUGACAACAUUCUUUGACUAGAAUAAGUGAAGGUCUGUUUGCCUUGCAUGAUAUUAAAUUAAAUCUGUCUAAGAGAUAAACAACUUAAACUUCAAUGGCUCACAUUCACGAGUGCUUCUGUGCUAAUAUUUAAAUAAUGCAUCUAUCUUUCAGAGUCUGAUUUAAUGGUUUUGGCUGUCUUUGGUUUUAGGCUUUUGCAGAAAGCUGUCGUGUGGUCUUCAGGACCCAUGAGACAGCUCAAGGGGUAAAGGUCAUUGAAGCUUGAUGCUCCCUGGGACCCACAUAUAGAGGGAGAGGACCAACCUUUAAAAAUUGGUCCUCUGACCUUGGAACACAUGUAACCCACCCUUCCCCGAAAUAAAGAAUAUGUUAAAUUAAUCCUCUCUUUACCAGAAAAGUGAAAGUAUUCUAAUAAUUCUUGUUUACCUGAAAGAGCAACAACCAUAUGUGAAUGUUACCUGAGACUCUUCUACUAGGUAUUUGUUAAUUGGUUUAGAUUGCAACUUAAUCAUAAAGAUGCCUUGCAAGGAGGAGCUCCCUGGAAUAUUCUUUCUGUAGAUCUGAUAAAAGCACAGCAUCGCAUGUGCCUAAAAACAGAUUUACAGCAUGUCAUUCCCACCUGUUUGAAUGACUUUUCAUUUUCCACAUGGAGGAAGGUAAGGCCAUCCCUGUCCCUGCUAGAAUCUAUAUGAAUACAGUAUUCACCUUUAUUUCAUGCAUCAGACAAACUGAAGUGUGACUAGAAUGUAUUUUCUUUUUUUCAAAAAUUAUCCUCUUUUUUGGCAUGUAUUUUUAUACUAUCACCUCUUGGGAGAGAGUUUGUAUAAUAUACAGGAUAAUGUACAUAUUAUGUGAUAUGUAGCAUCUAUUAUAUACAAUCUAUAGAUAAUAUUUGUCAUUUCUGUAAUACAUACAUGUUAUAGAGAAAGAGGGCUCAGCAGGCGAAGGGCACAUGGUACCAAGCCUGAACCCCCAAGUUGGAUCCCUGAAACAUUCCCCACAACCUCAUGUGGAAGACAGAACCAAUUUCCCCAAGUCCUCUAAUGUCCAAGGUGGUAUCUUGUUAUAUACACAAUAAAUACAUACAGUUUUAAAAUGGGAAAAAUCAAGCCAGAUUUGGUGGUGCAUGCCUUUAAUCCCAGCACUGGGGAGACAGGCGGAUCUCUGUGAGUCUGGUCUACAAAGUGAGUUCCAGGAUAGCCAGAGCUGUCACACAGAGAAAACUCAUUUUGAGAAACCAAAUAAAUAAAUAAACAUAAUAAAAAAUAAAAUGGGAAAAUUAUAUAUGCAUAUGUAUAUAUUUAUAAAUGUACAUGUGUACAGAAACUAACUUUGGCUCAUGAGAUAAGAUAGUGUAAGAAAAAAUGUAGGAAUCCCACAACUAUUCCUUCAUUUUCUUGGAUAAUUUUCUAAAUUAAGAACUUCAGUUUCAUUUGCAAAAUGGGGCCAGUCAUAUCUGCUUUUUGGAUUAUUAUGAAGAUAAAAUUACUAUACCAUGUAAGCAUCUGGACAGAUUGUAGAGAUUAGAAACUUUGAACCACUUUCUCUGCUUUUCUGUUGUUGAUUAUGUUAGCAGGGCAAAGCAAACCAUUCUAAUAAGACCAAGAAAAAUAAUAAGACUGUACUUUUAUUCCUAGACUGUGUAAGACAGUCAGAUGGAACAAGAUUUAUCUUCCAGAGAUAAUGAUAAUAUUAUUUCUUUUGUUUUCUCAAAAACAACACAGGUAUAUUCUUUUAAAGUCCACCAAAACUGCUGGGGUUUGACAAAUUGUUUUCAUGAGUGGAGUUGAAGUCUUGUUUCAAGAUUUUAAGAAGAGAUUUAUUUAACUUUAUCUUAUGUGUAUGCUCUCCUGCAUGUAUAUAUGUGCACCUUGUGCAUGCCUAGUGUCCUCAGAAGCCAACAGAAGAUGUCAAGUCUACUGUUGCAGACAGUUGGGAGCUGCCAUGUAGGUGAUGAGAACUGAAUCCAUGUCCUGUGCAAGAGCAAGAGUCAGAGUUCAUGAUGGCAGAGGCAUGGCAGCAGAAACAGCUGAAAGCUCACAUCUUGAUCCACAAGCAGGAGGCAGAGAGCAUAUUGGAAAUGAGUUGUAAGUGGAAAUGCCCUGUGACAUUUCAGGAUCCUUCAGCGGGCAUGCAGUCAUUGAUCCUUCUCAAUCCUUCCUUCUGGCUUGCUGCACACAUGUAUGGAAUGGCUGUCAUGCCACCUCAGAGCCUAAGUGAAGACCAAACCCAUGAACACUAGGGCAGAAAGCCAGUCAAGACCUAAGUCUCUAAGAAUGCUUGCAUAACACUCUCUUGGAUUGUUUACCUCUCAAAUUUUGCCUAAAAACAAGUAAGCUAUGAGUGUAUUUAAAGCACUGUUAUUUGAAUUUCAAUUAUUCACAUGUGGUCAUUAUCCUAACUAAUCUAGUAAGCAAACAAUGAAUUCCAGAUAACUGACAGUCUGAAAGUUUGUGUAUGAACAUCUAGAACCAAUUAAAUAUGAUAUAAUGCAUCUCAUUCAAGAUUUUGUCAGUUCUUAAGAGGUGGAACUGGAUAGAAAAGAGGAUAAAUUAACUCUAUAACUUGUUUUUUAUAAUUAAGUAAAAUGCAUAGUCAAUUUUAGAGUUCUAAAAGUGUAUUUUGUAUCCCAUUACUCUGUAAUUUCUUAUUCUUUAAUGUCUCUAGAUUAAAUUCUUUCCUGUAUUAUUAUUGAUAUUUUUGUAGAAUAGGUGAAGUUCCAAAGCAGGUGUUGUUAAUCUUGGUUGUUCUUGUUAGCUGCAAUUAGCAGUUCUGGAACCAUAGGGCAUUUGUACAAACACAAUGUGGCUUUGAUUUAUGCCAUGUAUAUACACUUGA
Molecule: long non-coding RNA, 6567 nt
Organism: Peromyscus californicus insignis
Lineage: Eukaryota; Metazoa; Chordata; Mammalia; Rodentia; Cricetidae
Exons: 3
Source: RefSeq, a predicted model, not a curated record